UUGGACCAGAACUAGGGCGGGACCAGACUGGGGCUGUCCCUUUUUCAAGCUAAAGGGGAUGUACAUGCAGGUCAUCUUGCCUGGUUCGGAGCUGAGCUGCCGUGACCCUCUUUCCCUUGCCCGGUGUGAGCUUCUGGAGGCCACUGAGGCAGAGCCAGAGGCGCCAGCUGCAGAGCUCCAGCCGGCGGCAGAAGCAGGGCAGUGGACAAUGGUGGAGGUAGAGCUGGCUCCAGCUCCGUCAAUACCACCCCCUCUAGCGCUGGAGCCAGCGUCCCCUCCCUCAGCAGUGUUGGAGCUGGAGCAAGGGCCCACGUCGGCUCCAGCAGGAGUGGGAGCUGCUGAGCUGGAGUCACCUGGACCAUCACUUCUAGUGGGAAGUCCAUCUCCACCUGUGGCCAUUAAGGAGGGUGAGAAGAAGCCUAACCUCACGGCCUUCCCUCCUAAUCUGGUGGUGGAGCAGUUGACCGUGAUGGAUGCGGAGCUCUUCCGGAAGGUGGUGCCCUCUCAGUGCCUGGGCUCCACCUGGGGCAAGAGGAACAAGCCUGGCAAUGAGCACCUGGCACCCACCGUCCAGGCCACCGUCGACCACUUCAGAAGGGUGGUCAGCCUCGUCGUCACCACCUGCCUCGGGGACCCGAGCAUGACGGCCCAGGACAGGGUGAGGGUGGUGGAGCACUGGAUCCAGGUGGCCCAGGAGUGCGAGAUCCUGAAGAACUUCUCCUCGCUCCGCGCUGUCAUCUCUGCUCUGCAGAAAACCUCCAUAAGCCACCUGAAGAACACGUGGGCAGAUGUUUCCCGGAGGGGCCCUCCACGUUUGCCCCCCCGGAGAUCAUCCCCCAGAGAGUGCAGGAGAAACAGCAGCAGCAGCAGGUGAGUGUGCCUGUGGGGGAGGGGCUCUGCCUUCCCAGCUGGAGGCCUCAAAUCAAGAGAGGAGGGCCCUUCCUCCUGGUGCCACAGUGCCUGAGUCCCCCAGUAGAAGUGACCAGGAGGGGGGCCUGGAAGAGCUGGUGCAGGAUGGGGCCAGGGACCACAUACCCUGUGAUUUGCCAGAAGCCGGCCCUGGGAGGUGAGGAGGAGGAGUGUGGUGUUCUUGGGGUGUGAAGGGAGGAAGAAUUG
Molecule: RNA transcript, 1116 nt
Organism: Diceros bicornis minor
Lineage: Eukaryota; Metazoa; Chordata; Mammalia; Perissodactyla; Rhinocerotidae
Gene name: ral guanine nucleotide dissociation stimulator-like
Exons: 6
Source: RefSeq, a predicted model, not a curated record